Molecule: long non-coding RNA, 919 nt
Organism: Physella acuta
Lineage: Eukaryota; Metazoa; Mollusca; Gastropoda; Physidae
Source: RefSeq, a predicted model, not a curated record
UCAAAAUCAAUUUUAUUAGAACAGUCUUAAACUUUUCUUUGUUAUGACAUUUCUACAGAUUGUUGUUAAUUUUUUUUUUUUUACAUUUCAAUCCUCAGCAAUGAGCGGUAACAAGUUCACGAUAAAGACAUUGUCAAACAUCAGCCAGAUCCUUCUGGUUAGGUUUUAGUUACCUUAUGUAUUUUUCUAAUCAUGUAUGAGUUUUUUCCCCUGCAGACAUAAAAUUACAUCCUAGCAGGUCACUGAAGUCCAUCAGUAGAUUGAUUUAUUUCCAAAUUCCACGAUGUGUAUUAAUUUUUAGUCUACAAAAAACACAUGUGUGAAAUCUUCAAGAAAAGACAUUUUCAACCCUCUUCUGGAUGUUGAAGUUUUAAAAAUUGUGUCCAUAAACAGAAUGUCAGCAAUCAUCCAGACGAUUAUGAAAUAACAUUCUUAACCUUCCUCAACCCGAGGGGCUCUUUAAUCAAGUCUAUAAAACACAUGUGUGAAAUCUUCAAGAAAAGACAAUUUCAAGAUGAAGCCAGGAUUUCAACCCUCUUCUGGAUGUUCAAGUUUUAAAAAAUUGUGAAAAUAAACAGAAUGUCAACAAUGAAAUAACACUCUUAACCUUCCUCAAGAGGCUCUUUAAUCAAGUCAACAACAGCACCUGUGUGAAAUCUUCAAGAAAAGACAUUUUCAAGCAGAAGCCAGGAUCUCAACAAACUUCUGGAUGUUCAAGAUUAAUAUUUGGAAAAUGUAAUUGUAUUUAAUUAUUUAUUUUUGUAAAGGGAGGAAAUUCAAGUAAAAUUUAGUUAUGUUUUAAAGGGGGAGGAUCUGGUGGGUGAUAUACAAUUAACUUAUUACACCUUUUGUUUUUCUUUUGUUUCACUGUCAUUGUUCUUUCUAUUAGAUGGAUGGUGGGGAUGCAGGGUAUGGUUUU